Molecule: long non-coding RNA, 2780 nt
Organism: Mya arenaria
Lineage: Eukaryota; Metazoa; Mollusca; Bivalvia; Myida; Myidae
Exons: 4
Source: RefSeq, a predicted model, not a curated record
GACCUAUGUCAGCUUGUUUCUUAGACCUAGUCCUAGGUGAUAGUACAUUUGAAUAACAUAAGAUUUUUGGCAGGCUACGCGAGAUAGGGACAUGGAAAAGACUCCCAAUGUAUAAUUGUCUAAUAUUCAUUACAUGUUAUGGUGUGGAAACCUUAAAACGAGCAUCGGGACCAUAUCGACCUUUGUCAUCAUGCAGCCGAGACCUAGUACUAGGUAAUAGUACAUAUGAAUAACCUAGGAUUUUAAGCAUGCUAUGCGAGAUAGGGACAUGGAAAAGGCUCCCAAUGCAUGUUUGAUUCAUAUUAUAUACAUGUUUUGGUGCGGAAACCUGAUAACGAGCAAGGUGACCAAAGCGACCUAUGUCACCAUGUAGGACAGACCUAGUACUAGAUGAUAGUACAUAUGAAUUAUCUAGGAUUUUAGGCAGGCUAUGCGAGAUAGGGACAUGGAUAAUGCUCUCAAGGUCCAUUGUCCUAAUAUUCAUUACAUGUUAUUGUGCAAAAACCUUCAAACGAGCAAGGGGACCAUACCACCCUAUGUCAGCGUGUAGCUUAGACCAAGACCUAGGUGAUAGUACAUAUUAAUUACCUAGGAUUUUAGGUAGACUAUGGGUGAUAGGGACAACAUGGAAAAGGCUCCCAAUGCCUAUUUUCCUCAUAUUCAUUACAUGUUAUAGUGCAAAAACCUUAAGACGAGCAAAGGGACCAUAGCGACCUAUGGCAGGUCGUUGCUUAAACCUUAUCCUAGGUGAUAGUACAUAUGAAUUACAUAGGAUUUAAGGCAGAUUGUGCGAGAAAGUGAUAUGGAAAAGGCCCCAAAUGGCUAUUUUUAACUCAUAUUCAUUAAAUAGUACGGUGCAGAAACCUUAAAACGAGCAAGAUGACAAUAGUGACCUAUGUCAGCUCGUGGAUUAAACCUAGUCCUAUGUGAUAGUAUAUAUGUAUUACCAGGAUUUUAGGCAGGCUAUGCGAGAAAGGGACAUGGAAAAGGCUCCAAAUCCCUAUUUGCCUCAUAUUAUUACAUCCCAGCAAGCAAGGCUAAAUGGGUCCCAUAUGGGCUGAAUCUGGGCAAAAAGCCCAUAUGGGGCCCAUAUAGGACCCAUAUGGUUGAGAAUGCCCAGAUGGGACCCAGAUGGGACCCAUAUAGCUGUUCAUCUAUAUUGAUUGGAUAUACAAAGGGAAACGAAGAUCAUUGUUAUAUGAAAAUAUGUAAACAUCGAUACUAUGUGAAAAAAGUUCAUUAUUUCAUGAAUCGGAUUCACAUCUUUUGACAUGAUAUGCCCCAGAUAGGUCCCAUAUGGGUCCCAUAUACUCGGCAUUAUCAUUAUAGUAGGGCAGUGUUAGAUGGUAAGGCACGAUGUUGUGGCGAUGAUACAUAAAUACACAAGGAAAAAAUAUUUUUCCGUAUUUUCAUUUUUUUAUUACUUCUUAAAUAUAAACCUUUUGCAAUUGUGUUUUUAGUAGCAAUUUAGUCACGAAUAAAAAAAAAUAUGCAGAAAAAAUUGUCACGUGACAUUUUAUAGACGCGCGGAUGAUGAACGUGAUUGAGUGAAAAAAUAAUGGUUAAAUUCAUCUUUUAAGAACAGUGCACCAAGGAUCGAGGCUGUACGAGGAUAUGAGCCAGUGUGCCACUGAUGCUAAUGGUGAUGAUGAGGAUGAUGGCCUUGUUACAGUCAAGACCAACACCCCCCAACAUUCCAGCUACCUGUUCAUUAUUCGAUGCUCGGCAGAGCAGAAUCCAAAAAGAUCAGGACACCUGGAUCUUUGUGAUUUUGGAAAACCAGCAGGAGCAAUUGCGAUAACAUACGCAGCUCCUGCGUCUCAUCCUGGCGAGAGAUUCAGCACAAGAUGCAGGUCCGAGUGAGUUGCCAGAGGAGAUAUCUUUCCCCCUCAAAACUGUGGUGGAUUUGGCAGCCUUCAAAGAGCGAAAGUCACAAGCGAAUGCUGCAACAUCCAUUGUAAAAAACUUGGCAGAAUAUGGUGGGAGUGACACAGUGGACACGUUUUCCCGGAUAAUGAAGACGGUGUUUUGUAAUGAUGCACUCCAUGCUCUGUUUAUUAGAAUUGUGCGUCUUUCGAUUAGUGUAUUUUUUUUUAAACACAUUCGUUAAAGCAUUCGGAGCUCCGCGGCCAUUUUUAUCGAAAACAACCUUUGAUGUAUGCCGGUACAUCAGUUAAAUUUCUUAAUUAUAUCAUUAAUUAAAUGUAGGGUUUUAGAAUUGUUUUUAUUAAUCUAAGAUUAAAUUGAUUGCCAGUGAAGUGUAAUAUUGCAAACAUAAUUAAGAUUCCCAAGAGUUAAGUCAUAAAGUUUAACUGCUAAAAAAAUUACUACGCGAUCUACUUGCAGCGGACUUAAACGUACCGCUUUUUGAGUAUGUAAACCGUCCAAAUACAUCAGAGGUUGUUUUUGAUAAAAUGGCCGAGGAGCUCCGAAUGUCGUUAAAGUCUUUAAAAAGUGUGUGUUUUUUACAUGUAAUUUUUGACACACUUUUUCAGUUUGACAGCUUUAACUGACAGAUACAAUCAAUAAAACAGUUUUCACUUAUUAUUAAGUUAUUAAUCAAAUUAUAAAUGUACUAGAUAGUUUUAGCUUGGUAUUGUCAAACCAAACUGAAAAAAAUGUGUCAUAAUUUCAGUGACAUUUUUCUUGUGUGCCACUUUUAUAUUGCCAGUAUUACGCAAAAUCUUAACAUUGUCAGUAUGUAAUUUUUGUUGUCUUUUUUAGUGUACAUCUUGUUUUACAUUUCUAAUGUUUUCAUGUUAAUAAACUUAAUAAGAUUA